RNAcentral lists this microRNA (22 nucleotides) under Sarcophilus harrisii (Tasmanian devil). RNAcentral's name for it is "Sha-Mir-7286_5p* (star (passenger))". Lineage: Eukaryota; Metazoa; Chordata; Mammalia; Dasyuromorphia; Dasyuridae. RNAcentral also lists the same sequence under 2 other names. The record is from RNAcentral.
GAGGAGCUUACAUUCUACUGGG